Long non-coding RNA from Gorilla gorilla gorilla (western lowland gorilla), 455 nucleotides. RefSeq lists it as uncharacterized. The transcript is spliced from 4 exons. The record is from RefSeq and is a predicted model, not a curated record. NCBI's taxonomy places the organism in Eukaryota, Metazoa, Chordata, Mammalia, Primates, Hominidae.
CAUUAUUCUUGUGCUGCAGGAGCCGUCUCCUUUCAGGAUUUCAGUCACAUCUUCCUGCUUUGUCCAGAACACAUUGACCAAGCUCCUGAAAGAUCGAAGGAAGAUGCAAACUGUGCAGUGUGCGACAGCCCGGGAGACCUCUUAGAUCAGUUCUUUUGUAUUACUUGUGGUCAGCACUAUCAUGGAAUGUGCCUGGAUAUAGCGGUUACUCCAUUAAAACGUGCAGGUUGGCAAUGUCCUGAGUGCAAAGUGUGCCAUAACUGCAAACAGUCGGGAGAAGAUAGCAAGAUGCUAGUGUGUGACACGUGUGACAAAGGGUAUCAUACUUUUUGUCUUCAACGAAUUAUGAAAUCUGUACCAACCAAUGGCUGGAAAUGCAAAUAUCAUCCCAACAUACAGUGAAUACCGAAUUGGAAAAACAGAUUUCUAAUGAGGUUGAUAGUGAAGAAAUGAAA